This 497-nucleotide ribosomal RNA is filed under the name uncultured bacterium. Its description in RNAcentral is "partial 16S ribosomal RNA". It matches the Rfam family "Bacterial small subunit ribosomal RNA", at positions 28 to 507 of the family's 1533-position model. The record is from RNAcentral.
GAUGAACGCUGGCGGCGUGCCUAAUACAUGCAAGUCGAGCGAACAGAUAAGGAGCUUGCUCCUUUGACGUUAGCGGCGGACGGGUGAGUAACACGUGGUUAACCUAUCUAUAAGACUGGAAUAACUCCGGGAAACCGGGGCUAAUGCCGGAUAACAUGUUGAACCGCAUGGUUCUACAGUGAAAGGCGGCUUUGCUGUCACUUAUAGAUGGACCCGCGCCGUAUUAGCUAGUUGGUGAGGUAACGGCUCACCAAGGCAACGAUACGUAGCCGACCUGAAAGGGUGAUCGGCCACACUGGAACUGAGACACGGUCCAGACUCCUACGGGAGGCAGCAGUAGGGAAUCUUCCGCAAUGGGCGAAAGCCUGACGGAGCAACGCCGCGUGAGUGAUGAAGGUCUUCGGAUCGUAAAACUCUGUUAUUAGGGAAGAACAAAUGCGUAAGUAACUGUGCGCGUCUUGACGGUACCUAAUCAGAAAGCCACGGCUAACUACGUG